CUACGUGCCAGCAGCCGCGGUAAUACGGAGGGUGCGAGCGUUAAUCGGAAUAACUGGGCGUAAAGGGCACGCAGGCGGUUAUUUAAGUGAGGUGUGAAAGCCCCGGGCUUAACCUGGGAAUUGCAUUUCAGACUGGGUAACUAGAGUACUUUAGGGAGGGGUAGAAUUCCACGUGUAGCGGUGAAAUGCGUAGAGAUGUGGAGGAAUACCGAAGGCGAAGGCAGCCCCUUGGGAAUGUACUGACGCUCAUGUGCGAAAGCGUGGGGAGCAAACAGGAUUAGAUACCCUGGUAGUCCACGCUGUAAACGCUGUCGAUUUGGGGAUUGGGCUUUAAGCUUGGUGCCCGUAGCUAACGUGAUAAAUCGACCGCCUGGGGAGUACGGCCGCAAGGUUAAAACUCAAAUGAAUUGACGGGGGCCCGCACAAGCGGUGGAGCAUGUGGUUUAAUUCGAUGCAACGCGAAGAACCUUACCUGG
Molecule: ribosomal RNA, 476 nt
Filed under: uncultured bacterium
Lineage: Bacteria
Description: bacterial SSU rRNA
Rfam family: Bacterial small subunit ribosomal RNA
Source: RNAcentral